ACCGUUUGGUGAUAAUGCGAAUAGAUCUACUCCAUAACGAAGCUGAACGUCUGCAGAGGCGCAAGAGGUGUAAACAAGCGUUGAUUGGUUAAGAAAAUUUCGGUAUUCAAAUGCCAGAAAUUGCCAGUAGCAGCCAGUAAUAGUUUCACCAGCCAGCAGCAGCACACUAUACUACUAAUACAGCAGCAGUACAAUCUAAACCUACCUUAGUGGUAAAAAAAUACAAAAUAACUUCCAGAUUACGGUGGUUAUAAGACCUGUUUCUGCAGCAAAUUCCCUGUGAAUCUGCAUCACAAUGGUCAAGGAUAUGUGUAAAGAAUGUGGUGGUGUAUCACCUGAAAGAUGCUGUUUAAGGAAAGAUGAGCCUCAUCGCCACCAGUUCUCAACACUCCCUGCCCCAAAGGAACAUCAUCCAAAUUCUAGGACAAUGCCAUCAACUAGAAGUGACUCGCCAGCCCAGGUCGUGGAAAGAAAUCCCUGGGGACCAGUCCUCCAGAGCCGAAGCAACUUUCUAGAGAUGCAUGUUUGUUAGGAAUCUUGGUGUCAUAAAUACUGUUCAGCAGUUUGUAGUUCACAAUCAAUACAUUGUCUGUGUGUACUUACAUAUUUUGUGUCAGAUGUUGCUGCCUAUACAAUAUUGAUUAUUUGGCAAUAAGCCCAUGCUGGGUAAUAAGCCCACCUAUGUAGUAGUUUAGUGCAAAUAAUAACAAAUGAUUUUUUAUUUCUUGCAAUAACCUCAAACGCCACUUUGAGUACAAAUUCAUGUCUUAGCCCCCAGGGCUUAUUACUUGAUAGAUAUAUUGUAUCACUCAGUUAUUAUCUUCUGUAAGAUCAGGGAACCAACAAUUUACUUUUGACUCAAAAGUGCGCAGUUUGGAUGAUUCAUUAGCUAUGAAAAUAGUAUUUUAUGGAGUGAGUUAGAUGCUGGCAUGGUUUUGUUGCUUGAUGAAACAUUUCUAUGUAAUCAAAAGUUUCUUUCAUGACGGUGAUGAUACUUCGACUAUUGUUCAGGAAAUUCAUCAUUACAUAUUUUACUUUCAUUUUACUUUUAAACAUUCCAAACAUCCUUUUACCACAUAUACAAUCAGGGUAGAUUAAUCCAGUCAUUUUUAUGUAAAUGGAUAGUUAUGAUGUGAAAUAGUUAACGAACCAUUAAGUGUCACUAUUAGUCUGAGUUCCCCCUGGCUCAUACACUAGAUGUUAAAUGAUCGACAGACAGGUGUCUUUAUGUUUAAACAUGAUUGUCUGUCAGAAUGUCUUAACGUCUGGUUUUGGAGACAGAACAGUAUUGACUGUAUAAACCUAGCUUGUAUGUAUUUUCCAUCAAAAAGACCAACAAAAACCUUGUCUAACAUACUGGAUUUUUCCUGUAAUAAGCGCAGAGACCCAAUACAGAAAAAUUUCUGGCUCAUGAAAAUAUCAUUAGGGUAUUAUUGACUUAUCACUGGACAAAUACAAUAAGAAAACAUUCUAAUACUUCAGCUCAAAAAUUUACAUCAAAGACAAUAAUUUUACUGUUUGUAUCAGUGAUGUCCUUACACAUUUUUCAAAACGUUUUUAUACCCUCCUUGAAAAUUAGAAGGUGGCUUUAAUUUGAUUGAAGGACAGGGGUUGUGGUGACUCUACAGAUAUAUAAUCAUUUGGGGAUUUUUAAAAUUUUAAUUCAAGCUAGUUUAUUUUCAAUAAAUUUUUUUCACAUUAUUGGAGAGCUUAAUUGAUCUUAAUGUAAGAAUUUUUCCUUUGCCUUUUUUUACAAGUUUUAUAUUAGAUUUGAGACAAUGUCAUGGACCUUCAAUACUUGAAGUACUGGUUAAUAUGGGUCCUAUAAGUACUUAGAUAUGUGUGUCUUGUGUGUUGCUUGGAGGAGUUCCAGAAGCCAUACGAUUAC
Long non-coding RNA from Ylistrum balloti, 1888 nucleotides. RefSeq lists it as uncharacterized. The record is from RefSeq and is a predicted model, not a curated record. The transcript has 3 exons. NCBI's taxonomy places the organism in Eukaryota, Metazoa, Mollusca, Bivalvia, Pectinida, Pectinidae.